UACGUAGGGAGCAAGCGUUGUCCGGAAUCAUUGGGCGUAAAGCGCGCGUAGGUGGCCCAAUAAGUCCGCUGUGAAAGUCAAAGGCUCAACCUUUGAAAGCCGGUGGAUACUGUGGGACUAGAGUACGGAAGAGGCGAGUGGAAUUCCUGGUGUAGCGGUGGAAUGCGCAGAUAUCAGGAGGAACACCAAUAGCGAAGGCAGCUCGCUGGGACGUUACUGACACUGAGGCGCGAAAGCGUGGGGAGCGAACAGG
Molecule: ribosomal RNA, 253 nt
Filed under: uncultured bacterium
Lineage: Bacteria
Description: partial 16S ribosomal RNA
Rfam family: Bacterial small subunit ribosomal RNA
Source: RNAcentral